CGGACGGGUGAGUAACGCGUGAGAAUCUGCCCUCAGGAGGGGGACAACAGCUGGAAACGGCUGCUAAUACCCCAUAUGCCGCGAGGUGAAAUGAAUUUCGCCUGAGGAUGAGCUCGCGUCUGAUUAGCUAGUUGGUGUAGGUAAUGGCUCACCAAGGCAUCGAUCAGUAGCUGGUCUGAGAGGAUGAUCAGCCACACUGGGACUGAGACACGGCCCAGACUCCUACGGGAGGCAGCAGUGGGGAAUUUUCCGCAAUGGGCGAAAGCCUGACGGAGCAACGCCGCGUGAGGGAUGAAGGCCUCUGGGCUGUAAACCUCUUUUAUCAAGGAAGAAGAUCUGACGGUACUUGAUGAAUAAGCCACGGCUAAUUCCGUGCCAGCAGCCGCGGUAAUACGGGAGUGGCAAGCGUUAUCCGGAAUUAUUGGGCGUAAAGCGUCCGCAGGCGGCCCUUCAAGUCUGCUGUUAAAAAGUGGAGCUUAACUCCAUCAUGGCAGUGGAAACUGUUGGGCUUGAGUGUGGUAGGGGCAGAGGGAAUUCCCGGUGUAGCGGUGAAAUGCAUAGAUAUCGGGAAGAACACCAGUGGCGAAGGCGCUCUGCUGGGCCAUCACUGACGCUCAUGGACGAAAGCCAGGGGAGCGAAAGGGAUUAGAUACCCCUGUAGUCCUGGCCGUAAACGAUGAACAC
This 684-nucleotide ribosomal RNA is filed under the name uncultured bacterium. RNAcentral's name for it is "bacterial SSU rRNA". It matches the Rfam family "Bacterial small subunit ribosomal RNA", at positions 99 to 816 of the family's 1533-position model. The record is from RNAcentral.